RNAcentral lists this ribosomal RNA (166 nucleotides) under uncultured bacterium. Its description in RNAcentral is "partial 16S rRNA". It matches the Rfam family "Bacterial small subunit ribosomal RNA", at positions 355 to 511 of the family's 1533-position model. The record is from RNAcentral.
UAGGGAAUCUUCGGCAAUGGGGGCGAACCCUGACCGAGCAACGCCGCGUGAGUGAAGAAGGUUUUCGGAUCGUAAAGCUCUGUUGUAAGAGAAGAACGUGUGUGAGAGUGGAAAGUUCACACAGUGACGGUAACUUACCAGAAAGGGACGGCUAACUACGUGUCAG